AACGAACGCUGGCGGCGCGUCUUAAACAUGCAAGUCGAACGGCAGGAAGGGGCUUGCCCCUUCUGAGAGUGGCGGACUGGUGAGUAACACGUUUGUGACCUACCUUUUAGUUGGGGAUAGCUAUUAGAAAUAGUAGGUAAUACCGAAUGUGACCGUACCUGUUAUAGGGGUACGAGGACAUGAGCUAAGGCUUCGCUAAAAGAAUGGCUCGCGGCCCAUUAUGCUCGUUGGUGAGGUAACGGCCCACCCAGGCGAUGAUGGGUAUCCGGCCUGAGAGGGUGAACGGACACAUUGGGACAGAGAAACGGCCCAGACUUCUACGGGAGGACGCAGUUAAGACUAUUCCGCAAUGGACGAAAGGCUGACGGAGCAACGCCGCGUGGAUGAAGAAUGACGAAAGGUUGUAAAAUCAUUUUAAGCCUGAUGAAUAAGAACAGUAGGGAAUGAGUGGGCGGUGACCGUAGCGCUUGAAUAAGCACCGGCUAAUUACGUG
RNAcentral lists this ribosomal RNA (493 nucleotides) under uncultured bacterium. RNAcentral describes it as "partial 16S ribosomal RNA". It matches the Rfam family "Bacterial small subunit ribosomal RNA", at positions 29 to 507 of the family's 1533-position model. The record is from RNAcentral.